Molecule: ribosomal RNA, 454 nt
Filed under: uncultured Parabacteroides sp.
Lineage: Bacteria; Pseudomonadati; Bacteroidota; Bacteroidia; Bacteroidales; Tannerellaceae
Description: partial 16S ribosomal RNA
Rfam family: Bacterial small subunit ribosomal RNA
Source: RNAcentral
ACGGAAGGCAGCAGUGGGGAAUAUUGGGCAAUGGAGGCAACUCUGAACCAGCCAUCUCGCGUGAAGGAAUACGGCCCUACGGGUCUUAAACUUCUUUUAUAGGGGGAUAAAGUGAGGCAUGCAUGCCUUUUUGUAGGUACCCUAUGAAUAAGCAUCGGCUAACUCCGUGCCAGCAGCCGCGGUAAUACGGAGGAUGCGAGCGUUAUCCGGAUUUAUUGGGUUUAAAGGGUGCGCAGGCGGCACGUUAAGUCAGCGGUGAAAUGCAGGGGCUCAACCCCGGCACUGCCGUUGAAACUGGCGAGCUCGAGUACGGAUGAAGUCGGCGGAAUUCGCCGUGUAGCGGUGAAAUGCAUAGAUAUGGCGAAGAACUCCGAUUGCGUAGGCAGCUGACCAGGCCGUAAAUGACGCUCAUGCACGAAAGUGCGGGGAUCGAACAGGAUUAGAUACCCUGGUA